This is a long non-coding RNA of Cariama cristata (Red-legged seriema), 799 nucleotides long. RefSeq lists it as uncharacterized. The record is from RefSeq and is a predicted model, not a curated record. The transcript has 2 exons. NCBI's taxonomy places the organism in Eukaryota, Metazoa, Chordata, Aves, Cariamiformes, Cariamidae.
UGUUAACAGGGCAUUGACUCUGGGAGGAGGACUGCCACGUUUGGAACACCUUAACCUCUCGGGCUGUCUCACUGUAACUGGUGCAGGCCUGCAGGAUUUAGUUUCUGCAUGCCCUUCUCUAAAUGAUGAACACUUUUACUACUGUGACAACAUUAACGGUCCUCAUGCUGAAACCGCCAGUGGAUGCCAGAAUUUGCAGUGUGGUUUUCGGGCCUGCUGCCGCUCUGGCGAAUGACUGCUGACUUCUCAUCUUUCAGUCUACUUCAUUUAGCUGAGCAGGCUUCCUUUCAUGCACUUUACUUACAGUUCGCAUCUUGUGUUAACAAUCCUUGGAGUGAGAUUUGUUAAACUAGCCUGACCCUGCCCACAACUUCAAAAUCUUAAUUAUGAGUGUACUGUACAGUGUUGUAACAAUCUCACAAUCUCAUUUGGUUUGAAGGGUGUUGGGUUUUGUUUUACUUAAUUUGGGGAAGAUGGGAAAACAUUCAGAUUUUUUUUUUUAAUGCCACUUUCUUCCAAGUUUGGCACUUAAAUAUAUUUUACUGGAUUAUUUUGUGUUAAGUGAAUGGUUUUUUAUUUUGAAUCCGUAAGUACAAUAUAAAGCUCUGCAGAUAAUUUGAAAUGUAUUGUUUGCAUUUGGGUAACAAUUAUACAUCUUUAGGAGCCUUGUUUCUUCCCCUUUCCUCUCAUCCUGAAGUUGUUCUUUAUAUUGCAAAAUUAGGGAAAUUCCGACCUUCCUUUUGCAUUUGGUUUUGUAUUUGGGCUUGAAAGACAUACUCCAAAUAAAACAUUCCCACCA